UACAACCAUAUCACGUCGAAACAACGAUUCUCGUACGAUCACCGAAGUUAAGCAGCGUCGAAACUGGUCAUUACCUAGAUGGAUUACCGCUUGGGAAUAUCAGGUGCUGUAAG
Acanthosepion pharaonis is the source of this 113-nucleotide non-coding RNA. Lineage: Eukaryota; Metazoa; Mollusca; Cephalopoda; Sepiida; Sepiidae. The record is from the annotation of a GenBank genome assembly.